RNAcentral lists this small RNA (555 nucleotides) under Rattus norvegicus (Norway rat). RNAcentral's name for it is "uncharacterized LOC102552219". Lineage: Eukaryota; Metazoa; Chordata; Mammalia; Rodentia; Muridae. The record is from RNAcentral.
AGCCAGUCCCAACUAAAUGUUGACCUUGUAAGAGUUGCCUGGUCAUGGUGUCUCACAUUCACUGCCAGCCGGAUCUACCUGAGCUGGGGACUGAACCCAGGGCCUUGUACUUGCUAGAAGAGGCUGUACAUCUCUAAGGACAAGAGUUACAAGCGGUUGUGAUUCUGUGUGGGUGCUGAGAAUUGAACCCAGAUAUAUUCCCAAAGAGCAGCCUGUACUGACCAGAGAGCUCUGGGCAGAAGUUGAUCAUCAGAAAAUAAAGGGCACUGGGCCAAAGAGCCAAAGGGCAGGCAAGUUGGAAGUGUUUUGUUUUGUCUUGAGACUGGCUCUCAUGCAGCCUAGGCUGCCUUCAAAACUGCUCUGUAGCUAAGACCGUGACCUAGGAAUUCCUCUGCUUCCGUUUCUUAAGUACUGAGAUUAUAGGCAAGUGCCACCAUACCCGCUUCGAUUUGGUGAUGGACCUAACAUAAGCAGUCUCAGUUCUAGGCAGUUUUCGAUUUUUAAACACUCGCGCGUGCACACACACAAACACACACACACACACACACACACACA